UUAAAUUGAAGAGUUUGAUCAUGGCUCAGAUUGAACGCUGGCGGCAGGCCUAACACAUGCAAGUCGAACGGUAACAGGAAGCAGCUUGCUGCUUCGCUGACGAGUGGCGGACGGGUGAGUAAUGUCUGGGAAACUGCCUGAUGGAGGGGGAUAACUACUGGAAACGGUGGCUAAUACCGCAUAACGUCGCAAGACCAAAGAGGGGGACCUUCGGGCCUCUUGCCAUCAGAUGUGCCCAGAUGGGAUUAGCUUGUUGGUGAGGUAACGGCUCACCAAGGCGACGAUCCCUAGCUGGUCUGAGAGGAUGACCAGCCACACUGGAACUGAGACACGGUCCAGACUCCUACGGGAGGCAGCAGUGGGGAAUAUUGCACAAUGGGCGCAAGCCUGAUGCAGCCAUGCCGCGUGUAUGAAGAAGGCCUUCGGGUUGUAAAGUACUUUCAGCGGGGAGGAAGGUGUUGUGGUUAAUAACCGCAGCAAUUGACGUUACCCGCAGAAGAAGCACCGGCUAACUCCGUGCCAGCAGCCGCGGUAAUACGGAGGGUGCAAGCGUUAAUCGGAAUUACUGGGCGUAAAGCGCACGCAGGCGGUCUGUCAAGUCGGAUGUGAAAUCCCCGGGCUCAACCUGGGAACUGCAUUCGAAACUGGCAGGCUUGAGUCUUGUAGAGGGGGGUAGAAUUCCAGGUGUAGCGGUGAAAUGCGUAGAGAUCUGGAGGAAUACCGGUGGCGAAGGCGGCCCCCUGGACAAAGACUGACGCUCAGGUGCGAAAGCGUGGGGAGCAAACAGGAUUAGAUACCCUGGUAGUCCACGCCGUAAACGAUGUCUACUUGGAGGUUGUGCCCUUGAGGCGUGGCUUCCGGAGCUAACGCGUUAAGUAGACCGCCUGGGGAGUACGGCCGCAAGGUUAAAACUCAAAUGAAUUGACGGGGGCCCGCACAAGCGGUGGAGCAUGUGGUUUAAUUCGAUGCAACGCGAAGAACCUUACCUGGUCUUGACAUCCACAGAACUUUCCAGAGAUGGACUGGUGCCUUCGGGAACUGUGAGACAGGUGCUGCAUGGCUGUCGUCAGCUCGUGUUGUGAAAUGUUGGGUUAAGUCCCGCAACGAGCGCAACCCUUAUCCUUUGUUGCCAGCGGUCCGGCCGGGAACUCAAAGGAGACUGCCAGUGAUAAACUGGAGGAAGGUGGGGAUGACGUCAAGUCAUCAUGGCCCUUACGACCAGGGCUACACACGUGCUACAAUGGCGCAUACAAAGAGAAGCGACCUCGCGAGAGCAAGCGGACCUCAUAAAGUGCGUCGUAGUCCGGAUUGGAGUCUGCAACUCGACUCCAUGAAGUCGGAAUCGCUAGUAAUCGUGGAUCAGAAUGCCACGGUGAAUACGUUCCCGGGCCUUGUACACACCGCCCGUCACACCAUGGGAGUGGGUUGCAAAAGAAGUAGGUAGCUUAACCUUCGGGAGGGCGCUUACCACUUUGUGAUUCAUGACUGGGGUGAAGUCGUAACAAGGUAACCGUAGGGGAACCUGCGGUUGGAUCACCUCCUUACCUUAAAGAA
Molecule: ribosomal RNA, 1554 nt
Filed under: Salmonella enterica
Lineage: Bacteria; Pseudomonadati; Pseudomonadota; Gammaproteobacteria; Enterobacterales; Enterobacteriaceae
Description: bacterial SSU rRNA
Rfam family: Bacterial small subunit ribosomal RNA
Source: RNAcentral